AUGAACUUCAAGGCGAGGAACGUUGCCACAGGGUCAGAGCAAAUCUUCUUUUCUGAGUUGAUGGCAGAAAUGGAUAAUAACGACAAUGCCUCCAAUGGAUAUUAUCGCGUCAGUGCAUGCGACAUUGUUGAUGAUAACUGUGCUGGUGGCCGUAAACAAGAAGUUGAGUGUAAGUACAUCCCAGGAUAUAAGAAUGACAUAGAAAAUUGCUAUGUAUGUGCUGAGAAAAUCAAGCACCCUGUCGGAAGUACAUACAAAGGAGGCCAUUCUGUUUCGGACUAUGGUGUGGAAGAAAAUUCUACCGAAUGA
This 309-nucleotide ribosomal RNA is filed under the name Triticum aestivum (bread wheat). RNAcentral describes it as "partial small subunit ribosomal RNA". The record is from RNAcentral. Lineage: Eukaryota; Viridiplantae; Streptophyta; Magnoliopsida; Poales; Poaceae.